This 476-nucleotide ribosomal RNA is filed under the name uncultured bacterium. RNAcentral describes it as "bacterial SSU rRNA". It matches the Rfam family "Bacterial small subunit ribosomal RNA", at positions 26 to 518 of the family's 1533-position model. The record is from RNAcentral.
AGGACGAACGCUGGCGGCGUGCCUAACACAUGCAAGUCGAACGGACGAGGGGAGCUUGCUCCCCAAGUUAGUGGCGGACGGGUGAGUAACACGUGAGCAACCUGCCCUUCGAGGGGGACAACAGUUGGAAACGACUGCUAAUACCGCAUGACGUAUUCUGGAGGCAUCUCCGGGAUACCAAAGAUUUUAUCGCCGAAGGAUGGGCUCGCGUCUGAUUAGAUAGUUGGUGAGGUAACGGCCCACCAAGUCGACGAUCAGUAGCCGGACUGAGAGGUUGAACGGCCACAUUGGGACUGAGAUACGGCCCAGACUCCUACGGGAGGCAGCAGUGGGGAAUAUUGGGCAAUGGGGGGCAACCCUGACCCAGCAACGCCGCGUGAAGGAAGAAGGCUUUCGGGUUGUAAACUUCUUUGACGAGGGACGAUAGUGACGGUACCUCGAAAACAAGCCACGGCUAACUACGUGCCAGCCGCCGC